Molecule: long non-coding RNA, 331 nt
Filed under: Mytilus galloprovincialis (Mediterranean mussel)
Lineage: Eukaryota; Metazoa; Mollusca; Bivalvia; Mytilida; Mytilidae
Source: RNAcentral
CCUGGCUGAAGGAAAAUGACUGAUCUUUUCCCGUUUUGCUUUAGUCAGUCAACAAGCUUAGAUAAGAAUACAUUAAGGUGUUAUAAUGUGACCAAUAGACUAUUUUCGAAUGUAGAAAUUGAAAAUACCGAUGCUUCUUCUUCUGUAUACUUUUCUGACGCUUUUCUUAAAUACACAAUUGAAAGGGAGGAAUCAAUCAAUCUAUCUUGGUUUUGGUGUGACGGCAUAGAAGAGAUUGUCGAAAAUUUCUGCAGUGAAAAGACAUCCAAUAAAUCAAGAGAUCAAGUGGUGAAUCUUUUAAGACAAUGUGUACAAAAAUUUGUACUGGACG